UCACUUGCAAAUCUACGUUUCGCUCUCUCGCUCUUCUGCACCAUACAUCACUGUGACAUUUGGUGCAAAAGUGACUUGUGUAUCUGCCAACCAAAACGUGGGCUCUCAGAGAAAUUCAGCCAAUAGGGGAUGGGGCGUGACGUCACCGCUCUAGCGCUGCGGAGGCUGAACUUCGAAACCGAAACCCCCUUUGCGAGAUUCGCUGCAUCUAUACCUGAUUUGCGUUCAAAAAUGCCUGCUUAAUUAUUUCACAGUAGGAGCAAACAUGCCUUAAGAAAAGGAGUACGUUUAAACUUUAGUAACCAUAAAAAGUACGCCAGGUGGAUGCCUUUCUACUCCAGGAAGCCGCAGCCUACGGCAUGAAGGAGGAAGAGGACGCGGUCAGUUUGAAAUAGCUGUUGUGAUGGAGCUGGACCUGUAGACAAGGGAACUAACACAUUUGAGGAAAAAAGAAUCCAAAAUAAGAGAUUGGUGUGUGUGGUGAGGGUAAAGAAGUCCACAGCAGCAUCUUGGAAAUGCUGUAAUGCAGGGGUGCCCAAACUCAGUUCUGGACGACUGGUGUCCUGCAGAGUUUAGAGUCAACUUCAACUAUAAACUCUGCAAGACAGCAGCAGUUCUGGACUGAGUUUAGCCACUCCUGUUCUUCUAUAGUGAACUGAACAAGACCCUGCAUCAGUCCACAUGCCCUUGUGUCCUCAUCUGGACCAGAUGUUGCUGUGGUCUCUUCAUCAUCCGUAUCUCGGGCAUGAACUGCCAUGCAUCACCGUCCUGUUUCAGUCGGACUGCAGCAAUGAGGGAUGUGAUGAUGGCGAAGUCCCUCUGAUCAUCUGUGUGGAGAUACAGCAAAACAUGGGCUUCUGUCUGUAAUACAUCACUGUUAGAAUAAAGCUUGGUUUCAUGUGUUGUUGACUUGUAUUUAUUUGUCAUGAUUACUCAUAUUCAUUCUUUUAAUAAUAUAAUUAUGUUUCUGUUUGUUUUCAAUAAAUAAUGAUAAUACUUUCAA
Molecule: non-coding RNA, 1003 nt
Organism: Danio rerio (zebrafish)
Lineage: Eukaryota; Metazoa; Chordata; Actinopteri; Cypriniformes; Danionidae
Source: RefSeq, a predicted model, not a curated record